Molecule: long non-coding RNA, 1870 nt
Organism: Stegostoma tigrinum
Lineage: Eukaryota; Metazoa; Chordata; Chondrichthyes; Orectolobiformes; Stegostomatidae
Exons: 2
Source: RefSeq, a predicted model, not a curated record
CUGGACAAUGAGCUCCUGAAGCUGCCCAGCAAAGCUGCUGCUGCUCUCUCUCUGAAUGAAGAUUGAGCUUCACCCCCCUCCAGGCUGCAGCUUCCUCCCCUGUGCAACAUCUGAUAUCAGAAGGGGAGAAUCUACAGACUGAGAUCUCAGAAGAGAUGCCUUAACAAGAUGCACCAGGGGUCACUCAACAUCCCCGGGGGUUUGAAUCUUGAAGAAGUCUUUGUUUUGCCUGCUUCAGUCUGACCAGAGAAGUACUCAGACGGGAGCACAGCAGUAAACUGCCGGUGGAAAGAGCUUUAACCAGUUCCACGAGCUGAAGAAACGUUACGCCCUUCACAGUGGGAUGUGACUCUAUGUGUUUCCUUGAGUGAGGUCACAGCUUCAAUCGCUCGUCAGAAAUGGAGAGCCGAAAGGACACCCAAACUGGGGAGCGACCAUGGGAAUGUGGGAAGGGAUCCUGUUGCCUGUGGGCGCUGGAAAUCUGUCAGCGCAGUCGGACCAGGGGAGAGGCCGUUCUCCUGCUGCGAGGGUGGGAAUGCGUUUGCUAACGUUUCCGGCCUGUGUGCGCACCAUCGACUUCAUCCGGUGGUGCUGGGCGCAGGGUGGUGGUGGUGGUCAGAGAGGCUGAUCGUCCCCUUUGGUCAUAAUAGUCUCACAGCUCGGAAACAGACCCUUUGGUCCAACACAUCCACGCCAACCAGAUAUCUUCAAUUAAUCUAGUUCUAUUUGGCCCAUAUCACUCUUAUUCCUGUACCCAUCCAGAUGCCUUUUAAAUGCUAUAAUUGUAUCAGCCUCCACCACUUCGUCUGGCAGCUCAUUCCAUACACAUGCCACCCUCUGUGUGAAAAAAUGCCCUUUUAAAUCUUUCCCCACUCAACUUAAAACUAUGCUCCUCUAAGUUUUGGACUCCCCCUUACCCUGGGGGGGAAAGACCUUCUCUAUUCACCUUAUCCACGCCCCCUCAUGAUGUUAUAAACCUCUAUAAGGUCACCCCCUCAGCCUCCGAGCUCCAGGGAAAAUAGCCCCAGUCUAUUCAGCCUCUCCCUGUAGCUCAAACCCUCCAACAUCCUUGUAAUUCUUUUCUGAACUCUUUCACAACAUCCUUCCUGUAGCAGGGAGACCGGGAUUGAACGCAGUAUUCCCAAAGCGGCCCUAUCCAAUGUCCUGCACAGCCGCAACAUGACCCUCCUAACUCCCUGUACUCAACGCACUGACAAAUGAAGCAUGCCAAAUGCCUUCUUCACUAUCCUAUCUACCUGUGAUUCCGUAAGGAACUACAAACCUGCCCCCCUGCAAGGUCUCUUUGUCCAGCAACACUCCCCAAGACCUUACCAUUAAGUGUAUAACUCCUGCCCUGAUGUACCUUUCCAAACACAGCACUUAGCUAAAUUAAACUCCACCUGCCACUCUUGGGGCCCACUGGUCCAUCUUGAGUCCUCCUCUGUUACUGCUUUAUUGAUUCUUCACGUUAAUUUAACUGGACUGAGAAAGUGCCUCCCCACCUCCUCGCCAGGAUUUGUGGCUUGCAGUACAAAGCCAGCAGCGUUAAGGAAAGGGAGAAAAGAAACAAAGAACUGCAGAGCCAGUCGUUAGAAAGGUGAGCAGGAAUCGCUGGAAAAACUCAGCAGGUCUGGCAGCGUCUGUGCGGAGAAGUCGAGGUUAACGGAGUGUGACCCUAAUGAGACAUUGAACUUGCUGAGGGACUGUGGCUGUGGCAAUGAUUUGGGACAUUUCAAAAUCUUUACACGCUGGGUGUACUUGUUUUUUUUCUCCUUUUUCUCCCCCUUCCUCCACCACAAGAGGGCAGCUAACCCCACCUCUUUCUUUCUCCUUACUGUCUCUGAAUAAAUAUCAAAUGGUUUUAACUUUU